This 533-nucleotide ribosomal RNA is filed under the name uncultured Coniochaeta. RNAcentral describes it as "SSU rRNA". It matches the Rfam family "Eukaryotic small subunit ribosomal RNA", at positions 218 to 755 of the family's 1831-position model. The record is from RNAcentral. Lineage: Eukaryota; Fungi; Ascomycota; Sordariomycetes; Coniochaetales.
AGAACCAAUGCCCUUCGGGGCUCCCUUGGUGAUUCAUGAUAACUUCUCGAAUCGCACGGCCCCGCGCCGGCGAUGGUUCAUUCAAAUUUCUUCCCUAUCAACUUUCGAUGCUACGGUAGUGUCCUAGCAUGGUUGCAACGGGUGACGGAGGGUUAGGGCUCGACCCCGGAGAAGGAGCCUGAGAAACGGCUACUACAUCCAAGGAAGGCAGCAGGCGCGCAAAUUACCCAAUCCCGACACGGGGAGGUAGUGACAAUAAAUACUGAUACAGGGCCCUUUCGGGUCUUGUAAUCGGAAUGAGUACAAUUUAAAUCCCUUAACGAGGAACAAUUGGAGGGCAAGUCUGGUGCCAGCAGCCGCGGUAAUUCCAGCUCCAAUAGCGUAUAUUAAGUUGUUGCAGUUAAAAAGCUCGUAGUUGAACUUCGGGCCUGGCUGACCGGUCCGCCUCACCGCGUGCACUGGUCCGGCCGGGUCUUUCCUUCUGGCAAACCUCAUGCCCUUCACUGGGUGUGUUGGGGAACCAGGACUUUUAC